GAAUAUUGGUCAAUGGACGCAAGUCUGAACCAGCCAUGCCGCGUGAAGGAUGAAGGCCUUCUGGGUUGUAAACUUCUUUUAUCUGGGAAGAAACCUCCGAUUUCUAUUGGAGCCGACGGUACCAGAUGAAUAAGCACCGGCUAACUCCGUGCCAGCAGCCGCGGUAAUACGGAGGGUGCAAGCGUUAUCCGGAUUCACUGGGUUUAAAGGGUGUGUAGGCGGGCUAUUAAGUCAGUGGUGAAAUCUCUGAGCUCAACUCAGAAACUGCCGUUGAUACUAUUAGUCUUGAAUAUCGAUGAGGUAGGCGGAAUAUGUCAUGUAGCGGUGAAAUGCUUAGAUAUGACAUAGAACACCGAUUGCGAAGGCAGCUUACUAAACGAUUAUUGACGCUGAGGCACGAAAGCGUGGGGAUCAAACAG
RNAcentral lists this ribosomal RNA (419 nucleotides) under uncultured bacterium. RNAcentral's name for it is "bacterial SSU rRNA". It matches the Rfam family "Bacterial small subunit ribosomal RNA", at positions 359 to 775 of the family's 1533-position model. The record is from RNAcentral.